UACGUAGGGCGCAAGCGUUGUCCGGAAUUAUUGGGCGUAAAGAGCUCGUAGGCGGUUUGUCGCGUCUGCUGUGAAAACUCGAGGCUCAACCUCGGGCUUGCAGUGGGUACGGGCAGACUAGAGUGCGGUAGGGGUGACUGGAAUUCCUGGUGUAGCGGUGGAAUGCGCAGAUAUCAGGAGGAACACCGAUGGCGAAGGCAGCUGCCUGGCCCAGAACUGACGCUGAGGUGCGAAAGCGUGGGGAGCGAACGGG
RNAcentral lists this ribosomal RNA (253 nucleotides) under uncultured bacterium. RNAcentral's name for it is "partial 16S ribosomal RNA". It matches the Rfam family "Bacterial small subunit ribosomal RNA", at positions 524 to 776 of the family's 1533-position model. The record is from RNAcentral.